This is a non-coding RNA of Vicia faba (fava bean), 210 nucleotides long. The record is from the annotation of a GenBank genome assembly. NCBI's taxonomy places the organism in Eukaryota, Viridiplantae, Streptophyta, Magnoliopsida, Fabales, Fabaceae.
AUGACCAUAGCCCUUUGUCUAUACCACAACUCCCUCUACCAGUUCAUCACCGAUCUACAACCUCCAGCCUGCUACAGAUUCUUCCCCUAUGUUUUCUGCUUUCUUCUGCAAAUCAGCAGCAGUCAUCUAUCAAAAUAUGCAGUAGUCAACACAGGAUAUAAAGCACAUGCUAUCUCAGAUGCUGCAAUAACUUACAACCACCUUCACUGA